UACGAAGGGUGCUAGCGUUGUUCGGAAUUACUGGGCGUAAAGCGUACGUAGGCGGCUUAGUAAGUCGAUUGUGAAAGCCCCAAGCUUAACUUGGGAAUUGCAACCGAAACUGCUUUGCUUGAGUUUGGUGGGGGAUGGUGGAAUUCCUAGUGUAGGGGUGAAAUCCGUAGAUAUUAGGAGGAAUACCUGUGGCGAAAGCGACCAUCUACGCCAAUACUGACGCUAAGGUACGAAAGCGUGGGGAGCAAACAGG
Molecule: ribosomal RNA, 253 nt
Filed under: uncultured bacterium
Lineage: Bacteria
Description: partial 16S ribosomal RNA
Rfam family: Bacterial small subunit ribosomal RNA
Source: RNAcentral